Molecule: ribosomal RNA, 229 nt
Filed under: uncultured bacterium
Lineage: Bacteria
Description: partial 16S ribosomal RNA
Rfam family: Bacterial small subunit ribosomal RNA
Source: RNAcentral
UGCGUAGGCGGAAUUUUAAGUCAGUGGUGAAAUCCUGCAGCUUAACUGUAGAACUGCCAUUGAUACUGAUCUUCUUGAAUUUAGUUGAGGUGGGCGGAACGUGUAAUGUAGCGGUGAAAUGCUUAGAUAUUACACAGAACACCGAUUGCGAAGGCAGCUCACUAAACUAACAUUGACGCUGAGGCACGAAAGCGUGGGUAGCGAACAGGAUUAGAUACCCUGGUAGUCC